UCGAAAGUGGGUGGGUUAUCAACCAGAUAGAUACCUUGGUAGUCCACCCAAGUAAACGAUGAUUACUCGCCUGUUUGCGGAUUAUACUGCAAGCGGCCAAGCGAAAAGCGUUAAGUAUUCCCACCUGGGGAGUACGCCGGCAACGGUGAAACUCAAAGGAAUUGACGGGGGCCCGCACAAGCGGAGGAACAUGUGGUUUAAUUCGAUGAUACGCGAGGAACCUUACCCGGGCUUGAAUUGCAACCGAAUUAUCCGGAGACGGGUAAGCCGCAAGGCGGUUGUGAAGGUGCUGCAUGGUUGUCGUCAGCUCGUGCCGUGAGGUGUCGGCUUAAGUGCCAUAACGAGCGCAACCCUUAUCCACAGUUACCAUCAGGUUAUGCUGGGGACUCUGUGGAGACUGCCGUCGUAAGAUGCGAGGAAGGGGGGGAUGACGUCAAAUCAGCACGGCCCUUACGUCCGGGGCUACACACGUGUUACAAUGGGGGGUACAGCAGGCAGCUCGGCGGCGACGCCCGGCCAAUCCCUAAAUCCCCUCUCAGUUCGGACUGGAGUCUGCAACCCGACUCCACGAAGCUGGAUUCGCUAGUAAUCGCGCAUCAGCCACGGCGCGGUGAAUACGUUCCCGGGCCUUGUACACACCGCCCGUCAAGCCAUGAAAGCCGGGGGUACCUGAAGUGCGUAACCGUUUAGGAGCGCCCUAGGGUAAAACCGGUGAUUGGGGCUAAGUCGUAACAAGGUAACCGUA
Molecule: ribosomal RNA, 745 nt
Filed under: uncultured bacterium
Lineage: Bacteria
Description: bacterial SSU rRNA
Rfam family: Bacterial small subunit ribosomal RNA
Source: RNAcentral